Molecule: non-coding RNA, 96 nt
Organism: Malassezia sp. CBS 17886
Lineage: Eukaryota; Fungi; Basidiomycota; Malasseziomycetes; Malasseziales; Malasseziaceae
Source: the annotation of a GenBank genome assembly
GGCAACUUGCCAGAGUGGUCAAUGGGUGAGACUUGAACUACAACCUAGGCAAUCUCAUGGGCUCCGCCCGCACAGGUUCGAACCCUGUAGUUGUCG